AACUCGGCUGCAUGAAGACUGGAAUCGCUAGUAAUCGCAGAUCAGAAUGCUGCGGUGAAUACGUUCCCGGGUCUUGUACACACCGCCCGUCACACCAUGGGAGUUGGAAAUGCCCGAAGUCAGUGACCGAACCGAAAGGAAGGAGCUGCCGAAGGUGGAGCCGAUGACUGGGGUGAAGUCGUAACAAGGUAAC
RNAcentral lists this ribosomal RNA (193 nucleotides) under uncultured bacterium. RNAcentral's name for it is "partial 16S ribosomal RNA". It matches the Rfam family "Bacterial small subunit ribosomal RNA", at positions 1309 to 1500 of the family's 1533-position model. The record is from RNAcentral.